RNA transcript from Mus pahari (shrew mouse), 2638 nucleotides. It is a transcript of the gene named F-box only protein 34-like, with no coding region annotated. The transcript has 2 exons. The record is from RefSeq and is a predicted model, not a curated record. Lineage: Eukaryota; Metazoa; Chordata; Mammalia; Rodentia; Muridae.
CUUUAUAACCUUGUUUUUAACUCAUGAGUUAAAAAUCACAAUAUCUUCAUAGAGAAUCAACUCCAAGAUUAGUUGUCUUGAUAAAAAUAUCCCAGAAGUCUUCCACUAGCAGCCUUCAGAUGAGGAUGUUGAACUCUCAGCUCUGCCUGCCUGGAUGCUGCCAUGCUCCUGCCUGAACCUCUGAACCCAUCUGACCAGCCAUCUGGUUGCCAUCCACGGAGAGGAACCGUUCUUCAUGCAGUUGUGGAAGCCGUAAAUUUGCACAUCCUUGGUGCUCCUCCACCCUCUAACUGGCAUCUGUUAUGCACCUUGAGCCAUAGUGGAAACUCUAGAAGGAAGCGCGGCCCUCUGUACCCACUUGAAAUCAGCAAGGACACACUGAGAAUGCCUAUGAAAUGGCCACAGUGAUGAAAAGGCAGAGCCAACUACAUGAAGCCACCAGCCUUCCUUCUGCCUCCCUUGUCAAAGCAUCGUCUAGAAAACCUUCCGGGGUCCUUUCUCCAAAUGUUCUGUGCAGUAUGAGUGGGCAGAGUCCUGUAGAAAACAGCUUGGACUUUAAAGCCAGAAAGAAUGUGCCGUCUGCAGCCGUGCACCGGAGUGAUGAAGGACUGACUGUCUAGGAGCUGGGCUACUGUCAAACCUGGGAACACGAAGGAGAAAAUUGCAUUCUUUUCAGCCCGCCAGUGUAGCAAUCGGAUAGGCUCUAUGAAAAUAAAAAAGUUCCUGGGAUAUCGAUGGGAGAGCCACUACAAGAAGGAAAAAAAAAAAAAAAAUCAGGGGAUCUUAAGAAAGCCAAGUUACAGCUAGAGAUGAUGAGAGAGAUCAACAGCCAGUGCUACCAGUCUAAGCCGUUUGCGUGUGGCGUCGAGCACUGUUCUGUGCAAUACAUGAGUGACAGUGGGGACAGUAUCCGUUCUGCGAGGCCUCUGUCAGUGAUAGAGACAGUUGCUACUGCUGUGCUAGCUAGCUGCACAUAAAACCUGCACAAAUUCGCCUACCACAGUGAAGAUUUCUGACCAGUCCCGGGGUACGUCACCUAUACCUGAGCCCUUCUCUGCUCCGGAAACUUGUGAAAACCCCAAGGAAAGAGAAAAUUCUGAGACUGGCAGAUCCCAGAGUGAGCCGGUCCGUGUCCUUGACGUGGUAGCCAGGUUGAAGUCUGAGUGCCCGAAGCACCAGGGCCAGUGGGAACCCGGGAGCUUGUCAGGGAGUAACCGCUUCCGUCGAAAAUGUAGGCAGGGUGUUGCUCACAAAUGGUUCCUCAGGCCGGCGACAGAAAUGAAGAGGGCUCUGCAGACACAGCCGACACUCAGGUGCACCCCCUUGCAGCCGGGAUCUGUGGGUGAAGGACCCUCCGUAACUGAGCAUCAUUGUGCAAAGGAGCAGGCCUGGGAUGGCACUUCUCAGAGCUGUCCCUCCUUGCCAGCCGGUGUGAGCUUUCAUAGGGACAGCACAGAGGUAGAGCCACAGAGGUAGAGCCUGGUCAGCAAACAGCUGUGAAGCACUGCAGCAGAGGGCUUUCCUGGCUACCUUCAUUUUUUAUAGCUCAAAUGAUGAUGUUAAUGUCCAGUAACCGAUACUGCAAAUCAGAUCCCUGGGUGACAUUUUUUGAGAGAGAAAAAAAUGAAGUGAACUUGAACUUUACCUUUUAAAAAUGUUAAUACCUAGGACUGGAGAGAUGGCUCAGCGGUUAAGAGCACUGACUGCUCUUCCAGAGGUCCUGAGUUCAAUUCCCAGCAACUACAUGGUGGCUCACAACCAUCUGUAAUGGGAUCUGAUGCCCUCUUCUGGUGUGUCUGAAGACAGCUACAGUGUACUAGUAAUAAAUAAAUCUUUUAAAAAGGGAAAAGGAAAGAAAAGAAGAGUAGAGAAAAAAAGAAAAGAAAUGCUUUACAAAAUAUCAAUACUUGACUGGCAUAGGACAACAUUUCAGAUGUGCAUUUAUUCCUGAGGUUGCUUAACUUUUUUUUAAAAAAGCUAUUCUGUAUUCUUUACAUUGGUGAAAUGAACACUGAUAAUUGAGACUUUCGAUCCAAUUGCCUUUAUUGCAUCACCAACCCAAAUCAGCACAUGGCUUGACUUUCCUGCAUGACAGUGAUCCUUGAGUCCUAAAGACUGACAUGAAAGAAAAAUCUAACGUCAGUAGAAUCAAGCGUUUGGACUUACACAGGAAUCAGACCCCAAACUCUUGCCCAAAAUGAACAAUUGAAAUUCCUGUUGAGGUUUUUAAAAGUCUCCACCGCCCCCUCAAGUGUUCUGCGUUUUACACAACUCAGCACUUCCAAACCAAGCCAGAAUGAGGAACCCUGAGUUCCCUGUGGUCGGCCAUUUCCCAAGUAUUCCAAACCCACGCCUGGACCAGGACACUCCAGGAAUCUCAUCAGCGCCUUGACCCCAGGAGGUUUCUAGUUCCAUUUCCAAACCAUAGAGGUUUGGAAAAGACCUCCCUGAACCUUCCAUCUGCCUCCUGCGCAUUGACAUGGUAGCAUCAAGCUCUCGCCUAAGACCCGACCGACAUGGUUUACUAUACUGCAGAGCUAACGUGCCAUGGACAGCAUUAGAAACUUGGCUGGGACCAGUCAAGAUGGUUCUGUUUAACAACCUAAUAAAUAUAUUGGAAUGAGCAAUGAAAGCAAAG